RNAcentral lists this ribosomal RNA (465 nucleotides) under Vreelandella stevensii. Its description in RNAcentral is "partial 16S ribosomal RNA". It matches the Rfam family "Bacterial small subunit ribosomal RNA", at positions 338 to 795 of the family's 1533-position model. The record is from RNAcentral. Lineage: Bacteria; Pseudomonadati; Pseudomonadota; Gammaproteobacteria; Oceanospirillales; Halomonadaceae.
CCUACGGGUGGCAGCAGUGGGGAAUAUUGGACAAUGGGCGAAAGCCUGAUCCAGCCAUGCCGCGUGUGUGAAGAAGGCCUUCGGGUUGUAAAGCACUUUCAGUGGGGAAGAAAGCCUUGGGGCUAAUACCCUCGAGGAAGGACAUCACCCACAGAAGAAGCACCGGCUAACUCCGUGCCAGCAGCCGCGGUAAUACGGAGGGUGCGAGCGUUAAUCGGAAUUACUGGGCGUAAAGCGCGCGUAGGCGGUCUGAUAAGCCGGUUGUGAAAGCCCCGGGCUCAACAUGGGAACGGCAUCCGGAACUGUCAGGCUAGAGUGCAGGAGAGGAAGGUAGAAUUCCCGGUGUAGCGGUGAAAUGCGUAGAGAUCGGGAGGAAUACCAGUGGCGAAGGCGGCCUUCUGGACUGACACUGACGCUGAGGUGCGAAAGCGUGGGUAGCAAACAGGAUUAGAUACCCGUGUAGUC